Molecule: long non-coding RNA, 608 nt
Organism: Melanotaenia boesemani (Boeseman's rainbowfish)
Lineage: Eukaryota; Metazoa; Chordata; Actinopteri; Atheriniformes; Melanotaeniidae
Exons: 4
Source: RefSeq, a predicted model, not a curated record
CAUGAAUGAAGAAAGAAAUAGCCCAUUCGUAUGAGAACAGAAACAAUCAGGGACUUAAGCUCAUUUUGCAUACCGUAUGGCUUACCUCUUUUUCAUCACUUUCAAGAUCAGCUGUGGUUUCCUUGUUUUUAUAGAACUUUAUGGAACCACUGCCUUAGAUAAAAUAUGUCUGCAAACACAGGCACAAACAAAAAACAAUCUGUACAGACAGAAAUUACAAGCCGCUGUAAUGAGGUGUUUCAAAAGUUUGCCAAAAUAUUUUUCUCACAUGAUCUAAAUUUGAUCUGUUUGUGAUAUUGACUGUUUUAGCGUGAGGUAAAAAGGAUCCACAGGAGUCUGGAGGACAGGCACAAGUACAGGGGAAAUGAGAGGUACAUGUCUGAGCACCUCUUUGAUCAGAAGAGCAACAGGUACUUUGAGAAAAUUAGGAGGGAAUCAAAGUUGACAGAAGACAACAAAGUGGAGGAGGAUCGGAGAGACAAAGCUCUCAACAACCGAAGGCACAGAGUGAGUUGAAUUACUUAUGGAUUUUUUAUUUGUUUAUUUAUUUUUAAGAUCCUCUAUAAUGCUGGGCUUCCAUCAGAAGACUCUAAAAAAUUUGGAGAAGA